This 585-nucleotide small RNA is filed under the name Pan troglodytes (chimpanzee). RNAcentral's name for it is "processed transcript". Lineage: Eukaryota; Metazoa; Chordata; Mammalia; Primates; Hominidae. The record is from RNAcentral.
AGCGAAUCCGAGAGAAAGAGGGAGAGGAUGAACGUCUGCCUCCCAAAUCUAGGAUUGACUACAACCACCCUGGACGAGUUCUGCUGCAGAAUCUUACCAUGUCCUACUCUGGACUGUACCAGUGCACAGCAGGCAACGAAGCUGGGAAGGAAAGCUGUGUGGUGCGAGUAACUGUACAGUGAGCAGUGACAGGCAUAGUGGCUGGAGCCCUGCUGAUUUUCCUCUUGGUGUGGCUGCUAAUCCGAAGGAAAGACAAAGAAAGAUAUGAGGAAGAAGAGAGACCUAAUGAAAUUCGAGAAGAUGCUGAAGCUCCAAAAGCCCGUCUUGUGAAACCCAGCUCCUCUUCCUCAGGCUCUCGGAGCUCACGCUCUGGUUCUUCCUCCACUCGCUCCACAGCAAAUAGUGCCUCACGCAGCCAGCGGACACUGUCAACUGACGCAGCACCCCAGCCAGGGCUGGCCACCCAGGCAUACAGCCUAGUGGGGCCAGAGGUGAGAGGUUCUGAACCAAAGAAAGUCCACCAUGCUAAUCUGACCAAAGCAGAAACCACACCCAGCAUGAUCCCCAGCCAGAGCAGAGCCUUCC